This 744-nucleotide ribosomal RNA is filed under the name Bacillus sp. (in: firmicutes). RNAcentral describes it as "bacterial SSU rRNA". It matches the Rfam family "Bacterial small subunit ribosomal RNA", at positions 51 to 777 of the family's 1533-position model. The record is from RNAcentral. Lineage: Bacteria; Bacillati; Bacillota; Bacilli; Caryophanales; Bacillaceae.
AUACAUGCAAGUCGAGCGGACAUUUGAGAGCUUGCUCUCAAAUGUUAGCGGCGGACGGGUGAGUAACACGUGGGUAACCUGCCUGUAAGAUUGGGAUAACUCCGGGAAACCGGAGCUAAUACCGGAUAACAUUUUGAACCGCAUGGUUCGAAAUUGAAAGAUGGCCUUUGGCUAUCACUUACAGAUGGACCCGCGGCGCAUUAGCUAGUUGGUGAGGUAAUGGCUCACCAAGGCGACGAUGCGUAGCCGACCUGAGAGGGUGAUCGGCCACACUGGGACUGAGACACGGCCCAGACUCCUACGGGAGGCAGCAGUAGGGAAUCUUCCGCAAUGGACGAAAGUCUGACGGAGCAACGCCGCGUGAACGAUGAAGGCCUUCGGGUCGUAAAGUUCUGUUGUUAGGGAAGAACAAGUACCAGAGUAACUGCUGGUACCUUGACGGUACCUAACCAGAAAGCCACGGCUAACUACGUGCCAGCAGCCGCGGUAAUACGUAGGUGGCAAGCGUUGUCCGGAAUUAUUGGGCGUAAAGCGCGCGCAGGCGGUUUUUUAAGUCUGAUGUGAAAGCCCACGGCUCAACCGUGGAGGGUCAUUGGAAACUGGAGAACUUGAGUGCAGAAGAGGAGAGCGGAAUUCCACGUGUAGCGGUGAAAUGCGUAGAGAUGUGGAGGAACACCAGUGGCGAAGGCGGCUCUCUGGUCUGUAACUGACGCUGAGGCGCGAAAGCGUGGGGAGCAAACAGGA